AUAAUAACUUUACGGAUCACAAUAAUUUAUUUUGUGACAUAUCAUUCAAGUUUCUGACCUAUCAGCUUUAGACGGUAGGGUAUUGGCCUACCGUGGCUAUGACGGGUAACGGGGAAUUAGGGUUCGAUUCCGGAGAGGGAGCCUGAGAAACGGCUACCACAUCUAAGGAAGGCAGCAGGCGCGCAAAUUACCCAAUCCUAAUACAGGGAGGUAGUGACAAGAAAUAACAAUACAGGACUUUACGGUUUUGUAAUUGGAAUGAGUUAAGUAUAAACCCCUUUACAAGUAUCAAUUGGAGGGCAAGUCUGGUGCCAGCAGCCGCGGUAAUUCCAGCUCCAAUAGCGUAUAUUAAAGUUGUUGCAGUUAAAAAGCUCGUAGUUGGAUUUCUGUUAAUA
RNAcentral lists this ribosomal RNA (395 nucleotides) under Cryptosporidium felis. RNAcentral describes it as "SSU rRNA". It matches the Rfam family "Eukaryotic small subunit ribosomal RNA", at positions 253 to 650 of the family's 1831-position model. The record is from RNAcentral. Lineage: Eukaryota; Apicomplexa; Conoidasida; Eucoccidiorida; Cryptosporidiidae.